CUAGCUGCCAGAAAUAUCUCAGUAUACUAUCACACUUUCUUCAGAUUCAUGUGCCAUGAGUGGGGCUAUGUUCACUGAUCACACUUUGCUACAAAUUAUAGGAAUGCUGAAUCACUUGGAGGAUCUGACUUAUAAAUGAUUGGCUUCAGCUGGAAUUAGAAUGAAAGGCAGGGAGCCUUGAUUCUCUUAUCUUCUGCCAAGCUCUCCAGUUUACCUUCCCUUGGAGACACCAAGAUAGUAGUAUUGGAAGAGGAAAACUGAAGAGAUUGAGCUUCUAGCAGUGGGGCUGAGUUGAAUGAAACAAGCUAACUAGUAGGAGAGAAACUGGCAUGAGCUGGGAACUGCAACAAGCUGGCUUAAGGACCGGUUUACAGCUGGAAGGGAAAGGAGGCUCACUGUGUUGAUAAAAGGAAGUGGGAGGUACCUAUAUGGAUAGAAACUGCCAGACAGAAGAUUCUUUAACAGAGCAGGAAGGUACUCGGACAUCAGUGUCCAACCUUCUUGCUUUCCUGGGUGAAGAAAGAGGAAUGCUCUUGGGCUGCAUACACCUCUGAGACAGCAUCCAGAUGGUCUGCUCCUGACUGAACCCUUUCUGGAAGGAGCUCCGCUCCUGUCACUCACAGGAGGAGGAUGCUGGUCUGACAGCGGCUGCAGAGCAGAGAGCUUUUCCCUUUCCCUAGCAGCUUGGAUAGAGAUACACUGGAAAGAGAGGGAAAGAUUUCUGUGUGUUAAGCAUAUAAGUGUGUAAUUUAUGUUUGUGUGGAGUUGCAUAUGGACAUAUAAACAAACUGUGGAGAACAUUAGGCAUCAAUGUACUGUUAGUUGCCUCCCCCUUCCCUGCUUUGAGCAAGCAGCCUGUGUUUUCAGAUGAUGUUUUCUAACCUGAAGCGCUACCAGUAUUUGCAGGAUUUCCUACUGGUUUUAAAUGGAACCUAGAAUUUUCUAAAUGUGACAGGUAUUGAGGCUCUGCAGCAAAGGAACCAACUAUGUGUAACUGCCUCAGAAGCUUUUCCAGUGCCUGGGCAGGUGCUCUCACUGUAAAUACCUUCCCCAGAGGUAUGGGAAAUUCAGAAGUUCAUCUGUGAGAAGGAAAAAGUUCCUAAUGGUGAUAUUUCAGUCCCAAUUUUGCACAGGCUGGACAAGAUUAGACCUAAUUUGCUAUAUAUACUCCUGAUGAAUGUUAGGAACUUUAAAUUCCUUUUAGCGAAUUCCUUUUCUAUGGAGAGUUCUUGAUUUAUAAGCAAAACCUACUACUAUGCAGUAUUUCUAAAGAACUGAAGACAUACACUUCAAAUUUAAAUUACUUGUGAUGCACGUAGUCUAAAAAUGGAAAUGCCCCUGCAAAUCAUAUGAUGCUGAUGAUUUCUCCAGUGAAGAGUUAAGUGAGUCAGUCUAUCUGGUCUUAACAAUUAGGGGCAGAAAUCAUUAAUAAUUUAAUUCAAUUAUAACCACUCCUUUGACUAUGGCUGGUGUAGUAAAUUGCAAAUAUGAAAUGCUCAUGCAGUAAUUGUUCUGAAGAUCAUUCAGGACAAAUAAGACUGAAAAAGAUGUUAA
This is a long non-coding RNA of Coturnix japonica (Japanese quail), 1554 nucleotides long. The record is from Ensembl. Lineage: Eukaryota; Metazoa; Chordata; Aves; Galliformes; Phasianidae.